RNAcentral lists this ribosomal RNA (1377 nucleotides) under uncultured bacterium. Its description in RNAcentral is "16S ribosomal RNA". It matches the Rfam family "Bacterial small subunit ribosomal RNA", at positions 30 to 1392 of the family's 1533-position model. The record is from RNAcentral.
CGAACGCUGGCGGCGUGCCUAACACAUGCAAGUCGAACGGGUCCCGAGGGCCCGCAAGGGCUAUCGGGAUUACGUGGCGGACGGGUGAGUAACGCGUGGGUAACCUGCCCGUGAGUGAGGCAUAACCCCGGGAAACUGGGGCUAAUACCUUAUACGGUCCUGGUUCCGCACUGCGGGAUCGGGAGGAAAGCUCCGAAGCAAUUCGGGGCGCUCGCGGAGGGGCCCGCGUCCGAUCAGCUUGUUGGUGAGGUAACGGCUCACCAAGGCGGAGACCGGUAGCCGGCCUGAGAGGGUGUUCGGCCACACUGGGACUGAGACACGGCCCAGACUCCUACGGGAGGCAGCAGUGAGGAAUAUUGCGCAAUGGGGGAAACCCUGACGCAGCGACGCCGCGUGGAGGAUGACGCCCUUCGGGGUGUAAACUCCUUUCGACCCGGACGAAACCCCGCAAGGGAUUGACGGUACGGGUAGAAGAAGCCCCGGCUAACUACGUGCCAGCAGCCGCGGUAAUACGUAGGGGGCGAGCGUUGCUCGGAAUUACUGGGCGUAAAGGGUCCGUAGGCGGCUUGGUAGGUCCGUCGUGAAAUCCCCGGGCUCAACCCGGGGUGGUCGACGGAAACGGCCGAGCUGGAGGGCGGAGAGGUGCGUGGAAUUGCGGGUGUAGCGGUGAAAUGCGUAGAGAUCCGCAGGAACACGGCGGCGAGGGCGGCGCACUGGACGGCUCCUGACGCUGAGGGACGAAAGCUGGGGGAGCAAACAGGAUUAGAUACCCUGGUAGUCCCAGCCUUAAACGAUGGUCACUGGGUGUGCCCCGCGUAGGUGGGGCGUGCCGACGCUAACGCAUGAAGUGACCCGCCUGGGGAGUACGGUCGCAAGACUGAAACUCAAAGGAAUUGACGGGGGCCCGCACAAGCGGUGGAGCAUGUGGUUCAAUUCGACGCAACGCGAAGAACCUUACCUGGGCUUGAAGAGCGUCGGACCAGUCCCGGAAACGGGACCUUCCCGCAAGGGACCGGCGCAGAGGUGCUGCAUGGCUGUCGUCAGCUCGUGUCGUGAGAUGUUGGGUUAAGUCCCGCAACGAGCGCAACCCUUGCUCGUAGUUGCUAACGGUUCGGCCGAGCUCUCUACGAGGACUGCCCCGGACAACGGGGAGGAAGGUGGGGAUGACGUCAAGUCAGCAUGGCCUUUAUGUCCAGGGCUACACACGUGCUACAAUGCGCGCUACAACGGGUUGCCAACUCGCAAGAGGGAGCCAAUCCCGAAAAAGCGCGCUCAGUUCGGAUUGCCGUCUGCAACUCGACGGCAUGAAGCUGGAAUCGCUAGUAAUGGUGCAUCAGCACGGCGCCGUGAAUACGUUCCCGGGCCUUGUACACACCG